This 224-nucleotide unclassified non-coding RNA is filed under the name Hevea brasiliensis (rubber tree). The record is from RNAcentral. Lineage: Eukaryota; Viridiplantae; Streptophyta; Magnoliopsida; Malpighiales; Euphorbiaceae.
AAAUUUAGAUGUUAAUGUUGAUACCACGUGGAGGGUGAUGGGGAGCUGCAUUAAGAAAGUAUUAGUGAUAUACUUGGCAUAUCCAAAGUUAGAGGACCACACUCACAAGAGUUUUCGUAGUGGAAUGAGUAGGUUCAAAAGGUAUUAAGAUGAAAAGAGAAUGGCAUAAAAAGUUAUCAAUGACAAGAGACUUAGAGACCUUUGAGAAAUAUAAGUUGGCAAGG